AUUAAUUUACAAGUAAUUAACAUGCUAAAACAUUUUAUAAUUCGCUUCAAUAACGUGUAUAGAUAACACAAAAAUUAACUCUGGCCUACCUUAGGCUACAUGAUCACAGACAAGCUGAUGUAAUUAAAAUGAGAAGAUUUAUUUCUUGGUACUUUCAUGGCUUUAUUUUUACAUUAAAGUCUUUUAUGAUGUAUUAUUUAUUGCUAUCUUCCACCAAAUGCUUGGCCAGUCAAUCCCAGGGUGAUCUUAAUAAUAACAACUAAUACAUGUAAACCAUAAACAUUUAUGAAAAUUAUAUAUCCUCAUAUAAAUUUCAUAACAUAUGUAAGUUACAAAAGAAAGAAAAAGUCAACGAGGAUAUGGGGGAAGCCAAAAGGAAUACAAACUAACAAAUGAACCUAACUAUGUACAAAUUAUGCAAAUCACAUAAUUUGCAGGAGGUGGAAAGAAAGAAAAGAACUCAUCUAGGCAACUUUUGAAACCAGUACUUAGAUGCUACAGGUCAAACACAAAAACAACAGUACACGAUUAAGGAAGUAAGGUGCCUCCAUAGUGACUGCGCCUCCCUGGGGCACAGGUUGAACAGUUCACCUACAGCACUGACAUGGCCUAAGCGAAUGUCCUGUCAAUCUGAGAGCCAGGUUUCUCCCUGUCACAGGAAGAAACUACACAUAAGGAAAGGGGCAGAAGCAACAAGCACAGCCAGUGCCCAGGUCUUGGUUGCUAAAUCCCAGUCUCCAGUGAGGGAGGGCUCCCUGGAGAAGCAGCUGGGUGCAGAGCUGGGACAAGGAAAACUGAAG
This 800-nucleotide long non-coding RNA is filed under the name Homo sapiens (human). RNAcentral's name for it is "HSALNT0246325". The record is from RNAcentral. Lineage: Eukaryota; Metazoa; Chordata; Mammalia; Primates; Hominidae.